This 253-nucleotide unclassified non-coding RNA is filed under the name uncultured Anaerolineales bacterium. RNAcentral describes it as "contains 16S-23S intergenic spacer region". It matches the Rfam family "Bacterial small subunit ribosomal RNA", at positions 524 to 776 of the family's 1533-position model. The record is from RNAcentral. Lineage: Bacteria; Bacillati; Chloroflexota; Anaerolineae; Anaerolineales.
CACGUAGGAUCCAAGCGUUAUCCGGAUUUACUGGGCGUAAAGCGCGUGCAGGUGGUUCGAUAAGUUGGAUGUUAAAACUCCCGGCUCAACUGGGAGCUGUCGUUCAAAACUAUCGAACUAGAGGACGGUAGAGGGAGGUGGAAUUCCGGGUGUAGUGGUGAAAUGCGUAGAUAUCCGGAGGAACACCAGUGGCGAAGGCGGCCUCCUGGCCCGCUCCUGACACUAAGACGCGAAAGCUAGGGUAGCAAACGGG